Molecule: ribosomal RNA, 331 nt
Filed under: Pseudo-nitzschia fraudulenta
Lineage: Eukaryota; Bacillariophyta; Bacillariophyceae; Bacillariales; Bacillariaceae
Description: partial Bacterial small subunit ribosomal RNA
Rfam family: Bacterial small subunit ribosomal RNA
Source: RNAcentral
CGGCUAACUCCGUGCCAGCAGCCGCGGUAAUACGGAGGGUGCAAGCGUUAUCCGGAAUCAUUGGGCGUAAAGCGCCUGUAGGUUGUUUAGUAAGUCCAUUGUUAAAGACCAGGGCUUAACCCUGGGAAAGCAAUAGAAACUACUAGACUUGAGUAUGGCAGGGGUAGAGGGAAUUUCUAGUGUAGCGGUGAAAUGCGUAGAUAUUAGAAAGAACACCGGUGGCGAAAGCGCUCUACUGGACCAUUACUGACACUGAGAGGCGAAAGCUAGGGUAGCAAAAGGGAUUAGAUACCCCUGUAGUCCUAGCCGUAAACGAUGGAUACUAGGUGUU